UAUUAUACUAAUAAAUAUUAAUGAGCCUAGAUUAUUAAUAGAUAUUUUCUUAAAAUUCAAAGAAUUUGGCGGCAGUUUAGUCUUGUUAGAGGAACCUGUUUUUGAAUCGAUACACCACGUUGAAUUUUACUCAUUUUAUUAAGUUUAUAUACCGUCAUUAACGGAUAAUUUUUAAAGAAUUAAUUAUUAAGGUUUAAAGAUAAAUAAUUAAGUUAAAUUAGAUCAAGGUGUAGCCUAUGAAUGAGUUAAAAUGGGUUACAAUAAGAUUUAUUUAUAACGAAGGAGUUAAAGAAAUAAGGCUGUAAAGGAGGAUUUAAUUGUAAUGAGAGUUUAAUAAACUAAAGAGAUAUAAGCUCUAAAUU
Molecule: ribosomal RNA, 362 nt
Filed under: Cyrtoplax panamensis
Lineage: Eukaryota; Metazoa; Arthropoda; Malacostraca; Decapoda; Pseudorhombilidae
Description: partial 12S small subunit ribosomal RNA
Source: RNAcentral